CUGAGUUUAGAUGGAGGGAGCGAUCCCUCCUCUUCUUCUCUUCACCCUUUGUUAUUAUUUGUACAAGUUGCUUUGGUGGUUGAUUUUCUUUUUCGAAAUCUUCUGCCAGACAGCUUUUUCAAACACUUUGCUAUCCAAUAAUUGAGAUAUCUUCUUGUCUAAUUCUUUACGACUUGAAUAAGUAUGUA
Molecule: unclassified non-coding RNA, 188 nt
Filed under: soil metagenome
Description: partial internal transcribed spacer 1
Source: RNAcentral